This 253-nucleotide unclassified non-coding RNA is filed under the name uncultured Oligoflexaceae bacterium. Its description in RNAcentral is "contains 16S-23S intergenic spacer region". It matches the Rfam family "Bacterial small subunit ribosomal RNA", at positions 524 to 776 of the family's 1533-position model. Lineage: Bacteria; Pseudomonadati; Bdellovibrionota; Oligoflexia; Oligoflexales; Oligoflexaceae. The record is from RNAcentral.
UACGUAGGGUGCUAGCGUUGUUCGGAAUGACUGGGCGUAAAGCGCGCGUAGGCGGGCCCGUAUGUCGAUUGUGAAAGCCCUGGGCUUAACCUGGGAAUGGCAGUCGAAACUGCGGGUCUUGAGUGCCUGAGAGGAUGGCGGAAUUCCCGGUGUAGAAGUGAAAUUCGUAGAUAUCGGGAAGAACACCUGAGGCGAAGGCGGCUAUCUGGCGGUGCACUGACGCUGAGGCGCGAAAGCGUGGGGAGCAAACAGG